UAGAUUGAAGCCAGUUAUUAGGGUAUUUAGCUGUUAACUAAAAUUUCGUAGGUUUAAAGCCUGCCAAUCUAG
Non-coding RNA from Chrysochloris asiatica (Cape golden mole), 72 nucleotides. NCBI's taxonomy places the organism in Eukaryota, Metazoa, Chordata, Mammalia, Afrosoricida, Chrysochloridae. The record is from the annotation of a RefSeq genome assembly.